Molecule: ribosomal RNA, 452 nt
Filed under: Pseudomonas sp. R-45972
Lineage: Bacteria; Pseudomonadati; Pseudomonadota; Gammaproteobacteria; Pseudomonadales; Pseudomonadaceae
Description: bacterial SSU rRNA
Rfam family: Bacterial small subunit ribosomal RNA
Source: RNAcentral
UGGCUCAGAUUGAACGCUGGCGGCAGGCCUAACACAUGCAAGUCGAGCGGUAGAGAGGUGCUUGCACCUCUUGAGAGCGGCGGACGGGUGAGUAAUGCCUAGGAAUCUGCCUGGUAGUGGGGGAUAACGCUCGGAAACGGACGCUAAUACCGCAUACGUCCUACGGGAGAAAGCAGGGGACCUUCGGGCCUUGCGCUAUCAGAUGAGCCUAGGUCGGAUUAGCUAGUUGGUGGGGUAAUGGCUCACCAAGGCGACGAUCCGUAACUGGUCUGAGAGGAUGAUCAGUCACACUGGAACUGAGACACGGUCCAGACUCCUACGGGAGGCAGCAGUGGGGAAUAUUGGACAAUGGGCGAAAGCCUGAUCCAGCCAUGCCGCGUGUGUGAAGAAGGUCUUCGGAUUGUAAAGCACUUUAAGUUGGGAGGAAGGGCAGUUACUUAAUACGUGACUGU